UAUGUUCAAGAAAUCAAAUAAUAGGAUCAUAGUGAUACAAAAUAAUAAAUUCAUAGUUAAACAAGACACAAAUAUACCAAUCUUACUCACAUAGAGUCCAGUAAAACAAUAUCAUAAAUUUCCUUAAGCCACAAAACAUUAUAAAGUCAUAUCACACAAUGCAUCGUAAGUUCACAUCUUAAAUCUAGUCUAAAUGUUUCAUAUCAAUUAUAGGACAUGGAAGGAUGCUCAUAGACAUUGCCUAAGUUUGCAAGGACAUGUAUGCUCAUAGACAUUACCCAACUUUGCUCUGUAGAUGGUAGCACAUUAAGGUGCUGCCUUUCAAGUGUACACAUAAACAUAUAAUUUAAACUAUUCUAAACACCAAAGUAAGCAGAAUUCACCAUGACUAAUUAACACUUAUAUUACCUACUAAAUAAGAUAACAAUUUAGCAUUGCAAAACAAGAUGCUUGUGUGUCAAUCCUGCAAAAGAUCCUCUGUGGUUUCUAGGACAGCUCUUGCUCGCAGUACAUGUCAGGGACAUCACUAUGUUCUAGUGUCUCACGUGCUUCCUCUUCCUCCCUAAGUUGUUCAAGCCCAGAGAGCAAAGUCAUAGUCCAUAGAAGGAUCAAAAUAGACACAAUCAUCUUCACUUGAUAGACCCACAGUCUCGAUAGCCAUCUUCUCAGAUAUUAUAAGCCCAUCGUUGUUAAUCUCCCUCUCCCCACAAACCAUUUCCUCAAAAUCUGUUUCACGCCCGUGGUACAUUCCAAAAGAUGGAUGCACAAUCUUAUUUCCUUUGCAUUCAUAAUAAAAGCACCUACUUGGUCCAUGAGAAGAAUGAAAACUGCUCGGCAGCAAGGCAGAAAAAAAAAAGAAAGGCUAAAAAAUUGUCAUUUUACUCAGCAGCGAGCCAAAAAGGCAAACAAAUUGUCAUUUUAACCAUUCCACCAAAUUGAAUUUCAAGGGCAUGCAUAGAAAAUCUUUAGUGUAAUACGUAAAUAACAAGGACUACACACAUGCAUGACAGACCACAUUCUUUUAUGUGUCCAGUUACUCUAGGGGGGAUAAGUGGGCUUGUGAGCACAAGGAUUAUAUGAGAUUUUUCUGCUUACCUCAAAAGUCGUCCAUGCCAACACCAAAUACAUGUGUUUUUUUAAAGAACUGGGUAGGAGAGAUGCCGAUUAUAUUAAAAGGAUGAGCCCAAACUGGGUAAAAACAACCAAAUACAAUAGAGAGACAAGACCUCACC
RNAcentral lists this long non-coding RNA (1232 nucleotides) under Sorghum bicolor (sorghum). RNAcentral's name for it is "long non-coding RNA (SBIC_LNC000141)". Lineage: Eukaryota; Viridiplantae; Streptophyta; Magnoliopsida; Poales; Poaceae. The record is from RNAcentral.